Long non-coding RNA from Lemur catta (Ring-tailed lemur), 770 nucleotides. RefSeq lists it as uncharacterized. The record is from RefSeq and is a predicted model, not a curated record. The transcript has 3 exons. Lineage: Eukaryota; Metazoa; Chordata; Mammalia; Primates; Lemuridae.
GUGGGCAGAGCUACCUGGUGAAGGGACCCAGGGCCUGAGUCUGGCCCAGGGGCGACAGAGACACUUGAAAGAGGCUCACAGGCCCUCGCAGGACCAGGGGACAGGCAGUCAUGAAGUCGAAGACAGGAGGAAAAGCCUGCUGAUGGGGCAUGGAAGUGGAGGUCACCUCUGUGAUAGGGCUAUGGUGAUACCAGAAGGGACUUCUUUCCCUCAGGACACUUGGAGCUGCGUAACUUACUCUUCAGGAUAGCCUUUGCAAGAUCCUUAAAAGUCUACACCCCUCUUCUGCAACCUCUUCAGGGAUGGGAACCUCAUUACCUCAUGAGACAGCUCAUUCCAUUGUUGAAUGACCUAAGCGGUAAGGAAGUGGUCAGCUCAAACCGGGUUGAAUCUCUCUGUCUGACAGGUCCACCCAUUAGUGCUGGUUCAGAGAGCAUGUCUGCCCCCUCUUUCCCCACGUCAAGCCUUUCAUGUUGUCUCAAGAUGGCGAUCGUGGUCCCCCUAGGUUUUCUCCUCUCUAGGUUAAAUAUCCUAGUUUUCCUACUCUACUUCGUGUGACGUGGCAUCUGAGUUUUAUCAUUUAGUAAUCCCCAGGUUGUUAUGACCAGUGCCCCCAGUGAAAAUUAUGUAGUCUAACUUAUGCAAGUCUGUGGGAUAGAUGUUUGCUGAAUUAAACUGAUUAUUUGAUCCUGUGAUCUAGAAAUUAUCCUUCUAUUUAUGUAACCAAAGAGUUGUUUUUGUUGUUGUUUUUACUGUUGUUUUUAAGGUGU